Molecule: microRNA, 24 nt
Filed under: Daphnia pulex (common water flea)
Lineage: Eukaryota; Metazoa; Arthropoda; Branchiopoda; Diplostraca; Daphniidae
Description: Dpu-Mir-12605_5p* (star (passenger))
Source: RNAcentral
ACUUCGAGCCGACCAGUUGCUUUG